This 411-nucleotide ribosomal RNA is filed under the name uncultured bacterium. Its description in RNAcentral is "bacterial LSU rRNA". It matches the Rfam family "Bacterial large subunit ribosomal RNA", at positions 1441 to 1838 of the family's 2925-position model. The record is from RNAcentral.
GUACCGAUCUAUAGUGCGAGUGGUGGGGACGGAGAAGGUUAGCUCAGCCAACUGUUGGAAUAGUUGGUUCAAGCCUGUAGUCGUGCCCGGUAGGCAAAUCCGCCGGGCUUAGAUGAGGGGUGAUAACGAGUCUGCUUGCAGACGAAGUGAGUGAUACCCUGCUUCCAGGAAAAGCCACUAAGCUUCAGCUAUAGACGACCGUACCGCAAACCGACACUGGUGCGCGUGAUGAGUAUUCUCAGGCGCUUGAGAGAACUCUGGAGAAGGAACUCGGCAAAUUGACACCGUAACUUCGGAAGAAGGUGUGCCUUUAGUAGGUGAACCAUUUUCUUGGGGAGCCCAAUGAGGUCGCAGAGAAUCGGUGGCUGCAACUGUUUAAUAAAAACACAGCACUCUGCAAACGACGAAAGU